Molecule: small nuclear RNA, 107 nt
Organism: Callithrix jacchus (white-tufted-ear marmoset)
Lineage: Eukaryota; Metazoa; Chordata; Mammalia; Primates; Cebidae
Source: Ensembl
GUGCUCGCUUUUGCAGCACAUAUACUAAAAUUGGACUGAUACAGAGAAGAUUAGCAUGGCCCCUGCACAAAGAAGACAUAGAAAUGUGUGAAGCCUUGCAUGAAUUA